UAAACCUGCAAACAAACAGGAUUUGUUCACCUAACAAAUACACAAUUUUUACAUUUUAAAAAAUACUCACUUAUUCUAAAUUAUAUGGCAAAGACGAGGAAGUUACUCACCUUGUGCAGUAACAGAGGUUCAAGAUGUGUCCCCCUGUGGGUGCUCCACUUUAGGUGUCGUUGCGCCCCUGCACUCAUAGCCAGAGAUUUGUGGUAGAAGUGCCCCUGUUGGGGUGUACAAGCACAGUCCCCGUCUCACGCUGCUUCAGGUGGUUAACUGGCGCUGUGCGACCAACCCCCAUAUGCCCCCGUUCCUUCUCUACUGCAGAGUCUGUAUAUGACAGAACUCUAAAGCAGAGGGCAGGAGGGUGGGCAGUGGAGCACCCACAGGGACACACAUCUCAAAGAACUUGUUACCGCACAAGGUGAGUAACUUCCUCUUCUUCGAGUGGUGUCCCUGUGGGUGCUUCACUUUAGGUGACUUCAGAGCAGUGCCCUCCGGUGGAAGGAGGGGGCUUCGGAGUUGAAGUCGUAGCAGAUGAAAACAAUGUGUGACCAAAGAGGGCAUCAGAAGAUGCGUGUUGUUGCAACGCAUAGCGUUGUGUAAAAGCGUGCGGGGAGAUCCAGGUUGUGAUCCUAAGAUUUCCGCAAUUGGGAUGUUGUUGAGAAAUGCUACGGAGGUUGAAAGACUCCUCGUAGAACGCAUAUGGAUCCCAGUAGGGGGUUGUUAUUUAUACUGGAGAUAAAGAGUUUGAUGCAGUCUGAUAUCCAUUUGAAUAGACGUUGUUGGAAAUGGUGUGCUCUUUACAGCAUUCGGUGAUAGAAAUGAAUAAUUUUGGAGAUUUGCGAAAAGAUUUUAUUCUAUCAACAUAAAAGGCGAGAGCCCUACAGACGUCCAAGUAGCGUACUCUGGAUUGUCUACUGUCUGUAAGUGGUUUUGGAAAAAAUGUAGAUCCUGAGAGCCAUGUAGUAACCAGACUUUGAGGAUAUGGAUGGACGAUGCUCUCUGCAUCCUGCAACAGAAGUCGAGGCAGAAGCAGGAGCAUGCGUGGGGGACAGACCGACAUGUGGAGAAGUUUAUGGUACAAAACAGUUCAGCUGAGUAUUGCAGCAGGAUAUGGAAUUAGAAGCUGAACAACAAAACUUUCUGUUGAGGACAUGGUACAAUCACAACUGGCCAUGAAAAUUGGCCAGAGCUGCAGUGUUCCCAUGCUCCGAUUGUCCCUAACCCAUGACUGAAGAAGUCAGGGCUGGAUCACUCAAUAACUGUCCUGUUCUGUUCAUUCCAUCUGAAGCAUCUGGCCUUACCCACUGUCAAGAGACAGGAUACUGUGCUAGAUGGACCACUGGUCUGACCCAAAAUGGCCUCUCUUAUGUCUCCUUUUUUAAGGGGCUAGAAUUCAACAUGCAUAAAGCACAGAGAUUUGAGAACUGAAGUCAGAGCUUAUACCCUUAAGAAAGAACACGGCCCAGUAGUACAGUAGAAAUCCAAAACCACUGUCUUGAAACAAUAUUUGCUAGGGACCGAAAUACAACUUUAAAUUCAAGACUGCAAUCAGAAGACAAUGCCUUAAUUCAUCCUUCUAUGCAUUUUGGGGAAAAAGAUGUACUAACCUCCUGCUCUACGUACUGCAGCAGAUAUACCCAGCCUGUGAAAUCCUGGGGAUUCUCCUCUACCACUUUCCAGAACUUCUCAUAUUCAGGAGGGAAAUGAGCCUCAACAUCAGUCGUGUGUAAACUGUGAAUAUCUGGUAUUCCACUCUCUUGUGUGGUCUCCUCAUCUACAUCAGGAGAGCUAUCGGGAGACUGUUCCAUCUCUGUGACACUCAUAAUCUCUGUACUGAAGUCCGUAAGCUGCUCUCCUGCUGCGUCAGUGCUGUUGACUGUGUUGUCAUUACUUAGGUUACAGUCAUCCUCUGUAUGAUCUGAGUUCUGCAUAGCUGCUGUUAAUGUUGUUCUGUUGAAUGAUAUCCUGUGGAAAUACAGAUUAAAGGUUACCAUCUUCCA
Molecule: non-coding RNA, 1997 nt
Organism: Caretta caretta (loggerhead turtle)
Lineage: Eukaryota; Metazoa; Chordata; Testudines; Cheloniidae
Source: RefSeq, a predicted model, not a curated record